GUGGGGAAUAUUGCGCAAUGGGCGAAAGCCUGACGCAGCAACGCCGCGUGGGGGAUGAAGGUUCUCGGAUUGUAAACCCCUUUCGACCGGAACGAAUCUCCUCCUGGUAAAUAAUCAGGAGGAUCGACGGUACCGGGAGAAGAAGCCACGGCUAACUCUGUGCCAGCAGCCGCGGUAAGACAGAGGUGGCGAGCGUUGUUCGGAUUUAUUGGGCGUAAAGCGUACGCAGGCGGUUUGGUAAGUCAGGGGUGAAAGACCACAGCUUAACUGUGGCACUGCCUUUGAUACUGCCUUUCUUGAGUAGAGUAGGGGGAAGCGGAAUUCCGAGUGUAGAGGUGAAAUUCGUAGAUAUUCGGAGGAACACCGGUGGCGAAGGCGGCUUCCUGGACUCUAACUGACGCUCAUGUACGAAAGCGUGGGUAGCAAACAGGAUUAGAAACCCCAGUAGUCC
RNAcentral lists this ribosomal RNA (451 nucleotides) under uncultured bacterium. RNAcentral's name for it is "bacterial SSU rRNA". It matches the Rfam family "Bacterial small subunit ribosomal RNA", at positions 354 to 796 of the family's 1533-position model. The record is from RNAcentral.